AUAAAUGUUGACCAAAGAUAGGUAAGAUCAAGGUCAAACCCUCAAAAUCAGAAAUGAGAUGAAGAUUGGAAGUCAGGAAAUAAACAAAAUAUUUUUGGCAUUUUUAAUAUUUGAAAAUAAACUUGAAUUAAAAUAUUAAAGAAAGGUCAAACAUCAAAAUCACUUCAAAUCAACUUUGAAAAGUCGAAGUGAAUCAUCCCAAGUUCAUCAAGGUCAAACAAAGUUUGACAAAAAAUUU
Molecule: long non-coding RNA, 238 nt
Filed under: Lathyrus oleraceus (garden pea)
Lineage: Eukaryota; Viridiplantae; Streptophyta; Magnoliopsida; Fabales; Fabaceae
Description: Pisum sativum (pea) long non-coding RNA (PSAT_LNC005848)
Source: RNAcentral